AGAGUUUGAUCAUGGCUCAGGAUGAACGCUGGCGGCAUGCCUAACACAUGCAAGUCGAACGGACCUUUAUUUUGAGAGUUCCUUUAUAGAAAUUCUCAAAAAUACUGGUUAGUGGCGGACGGGUGAGUAACACGUUGGUACCUACCCUCUAGUGGGGAAUAACUUCGAGACAUCGAGGCUAAUACCGCAUGUGGUCUACGGAUCAAAGCAGUAAUGCGCUAGAGGAGGGGCCUGCGUCUGAUUAGCUUGUUGGUGAGGUAAAAGCUCACCAAGGCGACGAUCAGUAGCUGGAUCGAGAGGUUGACCAGCCACACUGGGACUGAGAUACGGCCCAGACUCCUACGGGAGGCAGCAGUGAGGAAUCUUCCACAAUGGACGAAAGUCUGAUGGAGCAAUGCCGCGUGCAGGAUGACGGCCUUCGGGUUGUAAACUGCUUUUAUAUGGGAAGAUUAUGACGGUACCAUAUGAAUAAGGACCGGCUAACUACGUG
Molecule: ribosomal RNA, 490 nt
Filed under: uncultured bacterium
Lineage: Bacteria
Description: bacterial SSU rRNA
Rfam family: Bacterial small subunit ribosomal RNA
Source: RNAcentral